Molecule: ribosomal RNA, 468 nt
Filed under: uncultured bacterium
Lineage: Bacteria
Description: partial 16S ribosomal RNA
Rfam family: Bacterial small subunit ribosomal RNA
Source: RNAcentral
GACGAACGCUGGCGGCGUGCUUAACACAUGCAAGUCGAACGGAAAGGCCCUGCUUUUGUGGGGUGCUCGAGUGGCGAACGGGUGAGUAACACGUGAGUAACCUGCCCUUGACUUUGGGAUAACUUCAGGAAACUGGGGCUAAUACCGGAUAGGAGCUCCUGCUGCAUGGUGGGGGUUGGAAAGUUUCGGCGGUUGGGGAUGGACUCGCGGCUUAUCAGCUUGUUGGUGGGGUAGUGGCUUACCAAGGCUUUGACGGGUAGCCGGCCUGAGAGGGUGACCGGCCACAUUGGGACUGAGAUACGGCCCAGACUCCUACGGGAGGCAGCAGUGGGGAAUAUUGCACAAUGGGCUGAAGCCUGAUGCAGCAACGCCGCGUGCGGGAUGACGGCCUUCGGGUUGUAAACCGCAUUCGCCUGUGACGAAGCGUGAGUGACGGUAAUGGGUAAAGAAGCACCGGCUAACUACGUG